GGGGCCGUAGUUCACUCGGGAGAACGUCGCGUUUGCAUCGCGAAGGUAGGGGGUUCGAAUCCCCCCGGCUCCACCA
Molecule: transfer RNA, 76 nt
Filed under: Chloroflexi bacterium RBG_16_50_9
Lineage: Bacteria; Bacillati; Chloroflexota
Also listed under: 1 other name
Description: tRNA-Ala
Rfam family: tRNA
About the family: Transfer RNA (tRNA) molecules are approximately 80 nucleotides in length. Their secondary structure includes four short double-helical elements and three loops (D, anti-codon, and T loops).
Source: RNAcentral